GACAAGUAUAUAAAGAAACUAUUAUGGAUGGUUAGCUAUAUAUUUCAAGAUAUUUAUAUCUAGACGAUGAAACAACUAGAAAUCAUAGAGAAAUCUAAUAAAAAGACAAAGUGAAUUGAAAUAUCUUAGUAACUUUAGGAAAAGAAAUCAAACGAGAUUGUUAUUUGGUGUCUUCUAAAUAGCAAAAGCCUUUUUUUUAAAUAUAACGGAAAAAAAUCUGUUAAAACAUAGGGGACCCUUCCUCUAAGGCUAAAAAAAAUAUAUAAGCGAUAGAGUAUCAGUACCGUGAGGGAAAUACACUGAAAUAGUAGGUUUAAAAGCAGCUCAAGUGAAAAUUUAAAUAAAUAAUAAGAGUGUACCUUUUGCAUAAUGGGUCAGCAAGUUAAUUUUAGAUGCAAGUAUUAUACUUAACUGCACAUAAAAUUAGACACCAUAGUAUAUAUGUGUGUUUAUAUAUGAUAAAGAUAAAGAAUAAUACGUAGAUAAACCAAUUAUGAAAAAAUGAAUAAGUAUCUAGAAUUAGACCCGAAGGCUAGUGAUCUUACCAUGGUCAGGGUUAUAAAAGCCCGAACGGGUUAUCGUUGUAAAGAUAUCCGAUGAACUGUGGUAAGUUAGUGAAAGACAAAACUGACUAGUAUAGCUGGUUUUCCGCGAAACCUAUGUAAGUAGGUAAUUUAAUUAACAUCUUAGCAGGUACAGAACUGUGAUCUCGGACAAUAUUAUAAAUAUUUGUCAACAUCGGGGGGUUGUAGUGACUUUACCGGAGAGUAUUUGCACUCGGAAGGGCAAAGAUGAAUGUUAAAUAAUCGGACAUAGUGCGAUAAGGUUGUAUGUCUAAAGGGAAACAGCCCAGAACAAGAGUUAAGGUUCCAAAAUUAUUGUUAAGUGAAAUUAAGGAUGUUUUUUUUUAAAACAAUCAGGAAAUAGGCUUAGAAGCGGCCAUUUUUUGAAGACCUCGUAACAGAGCACUGAUUAAUAAUUUAGGAAAAAACGCCGAAAAUUUAACGGAUCUAAAUAAUAUACCGAAACCUUGUACACAAAAAACAAUAAAAAUAUAGUUUUAUUUGUGGGGUAGCGGAACAUUGGAUUAAACUGUAUAUUAAUAUUUUUCUUAAAAUAUUAAAAAAAGUAUUAUAAUGGCCAUAAUUAUUUUUAAUUAAUUAAAUUAUAAUUAUGCUAGUAUAUUUUUACGGUUAUAAUAAUUUAUUUACUAUAUAUAAAUUAUAUAAGUUUUAUUAUUUUCUGUUAAAUCCAAGAGAGAAUGCUGACAUGAGUAACGAAAAAGGCUGUUGAGCCUCGCCUGAAGCUUAUGGUUUUUAAAAAAACCGGUGUCUAAAAAGAUUAAUCAAAAGAUAAUUUUGAUGACGUAGGAUUUUAUCUUAUUAAUAAUAACCAAAACCUUUAACAAGUAAUAAAGGUUCUGGAAAAGUUUAUUAUUUUAUCUGAUAAAUUUUUAUAUUUACUUAAAUUUAUUAGUACUAACUAAUAAUUAAGGAUACUAAAUAUAAUAUCUAACCGUACCUAGAAACUAACUCAAGUAAGCAAGUAGAGAAUACAAAGGCGUUUGAGAGAACAAUCAUUAAGGAACUCGGCAAAUUGACUCUGUACCUUCGGAAUAAGGAGGGCCAUUAUUAUUAAUUAUGAUAUUAUUUCACAUUGUGAAAUAAUAUAUAAUAUAAUGAUAAGAGGAAUCAUGAAAUAAUGUUGUACGACUGUUUAAUAAAAACACAGCACUCUGCAAAGAUAAAAAAUCAAAGUAUUGAGUGUGAUGUCUGCCCAAUGUCGGCUGGGUAACGGAUUUACCUUGAUUAUUAACUGAGGUUUUGAAGGACACCCCGAUUAAUGGCGGCCUUACCUAUGAGGGUCCUAAGGUAGCGAAAUACCUUGGCCGUUAAAUGCGGUCCUGCAUGAAUGACUUAACGAUGCAACAGCUGUCUCGAUGAUUGUCUCAGUGAAAUUGGAAUAGCAGUGCAGAUACUGUUUACCUCUAGAUAGACGAGAAGACCCUAUGCAGCUUUACUGUUACUAAUUACAGGAGUGAAAAUUUAGGAUGAUUUAUAGUGUAUAAGGUAGUUGAUGAUACGAGAUAACAAUGAAACACCUUUAUUCGAAUCCUUAUAUAUACUCUUGAUGAUUGGGAGGCAGUUUAUGCGGGGCACAGAUCCCACAAAAAGUACCUGGGUAUAUCCAAAGUUCAUAUUGUAAACUUGUAUAUUUAUAUACAAAUAUUUUAAUUUGUUCUAAUUAUUAUUAUAAUUAUACAGUUAUUAUUCGAUUAAAUUCCACAAUAAUUUUUUAUUUUAAGUAAGAUUUUAACUAUGCGGUGAAUAGAUGUAUUUUAAACUUUACCCUUGGCGCAAGCCAAGGGCUAUAUUAAAAGUUUAUUUGUUAUAUUAAUAAAGUAUUUAUCUUUAUUAAUAUAAUGUUUAUAUAUACUUUAAAAGUUUAAUGGCUAAAUCUUGCUUUACUGUUUGACCUACAAGUCUAUCAGUCGCGUAAGCGGGGCAUAUGAUCACAAGAUGCAUUAAGGAAAGGUCUUGGAUUAUAGAAAAAGUUACGCUAGGGAUUUAUAACUGUGAGUCCUCCAAUAUUAUAAAAUAUUGGUAAU
This 2608-nucleotide ribosomal RNA is filed under the name Penicillium antarcticum. Its description in RNAcentral is "Bacterial large subunit ribosomal RNA". It matches the Rfam family "Bacterial large subunit ribosomal RNA", at positions 1 to 2515 of the family's 2925-position model. Lineage: Eukaryota; Fungi; Ascomycota; Eurotiomycetes; Eurotiales; Aspergillaceae. The record is from Rfam by way of RNAcentral.